UUUUAUUUUCAGAGACAAUUCUGCAAACUUGACAUUAAAGCAGUAGUUUGGCAUGGUUUAAAAUACAUUCAAAUGUAUACUAAAUGUUUUAGAAAAUAUUCCAUUGUUGAAUACACUUCUAAUCCUCACUUCAAAUCAACUUUCCUCUUUCUUGGCUCAUAUUUGUGAAAUAAAAUUUUAUUUAAAAUGGAAGAUAAUUAUCUAAAGGGUUUUGUCAUUAAUCAAUACAAUGACAGAUAAAUGUUUCUAUCUACAGAUAUUUAGAUGUCUUUGUUCAUCUGGAGAGUUCCAAUUUUACCCCUUUAUGUUUAUAGGAUUAGAUGGUUCAGGGAAAAGUAAAUGGUUGAUGGCCCAUACAAUAUUCUCUCUUUAUCUAAGGACUUUCUUUGCCCUCAGUAGGCUAUCUC
RNAcentral lists this long non-coding RNA (407 nucleotides) under Homo sapiens (human). RNAcentral's name for it is "HSALNT0320103". The record is from RNAcentral. Lineage: Eukaryota; Metazoa; Chordata; Mammalia; Primates; Hominidae.